ACUCAUUUGGUGGAAUUGGUAGACACGACAGACUUAAAAUCUGUUUCCUUUCGGAGUACCGGUUCAAUUCUGGUAAUGAGUA
Molecule: transfer RNA, 82 nt
Filed under: Nannochloropsis limnetica
Lineage: Eukaryota; Eustigmatophyceae; Eustigmatales; Monodopsidaceae
Description: tRNA-Leu
Rfam family: tRNA
About the family: Transfer RNA (tRNA) molecules are approximately 80 nucleotides in length.
Source: RNAcentral